CAGCCAGAUGUGGCUGCCUCCAAGUCAAUCAACAUCCUCUUAAAAGCGACCAAUGAGACCAGCUCAUUAAGUUUCAUCGAUUUCUGUAACUUGUUCCAUGUAGAGGGAGCAGCAAACUUAAACACAUUUUUCCCCAGCUCAGUUCUAACCUUUGGAACAGACAGAAGGAAAAGAUCCUGGGAACGGAGAUUGUAAGUCCCGGUACUAUUUACACUGAUAUAGGUCAGAAGGUAGGAUGGAAGGAGACCUAAAAUAGCCUUGUAUAUGAAGGUAUGCCAGUGUUGAAGUCUCCGUGUUGAUAGAGAAGGCCAUCCAACACGUUCAUACAGUUCACAAUGGUGAGUGAGGGCUUUAAGACCAGUGAUGAACCUCAGAGAUCCGUGGUAUACAGUGUCCAGUGCAUGUAAACUUUGAGACGAAGCAUGCAUGGAUAAAACAUCACCAUAGUCAAGUACAGACAUAAAAGUGUCAGCGACCAGCCUCUUUCUAGAUUUGAAUGAAAGGCAGGAUUUGAUUCUGAAAUAAAACCCUAGUUUAAGUUUUAAUCUUUUUGCUAGCUGCUGAAUAUGAAGGGUAAAAGAAAGAGAUUCAUCAAUUAAAAUACCAAGAUAUCUGUACUUA
Molecule: long non-coding RNA, 621 nt
Organism: Sander lucioperca (pikeperch)
Lineage: Eukaryota; Metazoa; Chordata; Actinopteri; Perciformes; Percidae
Exons: 2
Source: RefSeq, a predicted model, not a curated record